Molecule: long non-coding RNA, 205 nt
Filed under: Nicotiana benthamiana
Lineage: Eukaryota; Viridiplantae; Streptophyta; Magnoliopsida; Solanales; Solanaceae
Description: long non-coding RNA (NBEN_LNC008331)
Source: RNAcentral
GGUCUACACCACUGCCUGAAGCAGAUAAGGUGCACUCUCAUUAUGCCAAACAUGAAAAGGACCAUGGUCAUGGUCGUAAACGGGGUCAUAGCCAAAGACGUAGACAAGGAAGAAAUUCCAAUGAAGUCCGUCAACCCCCAAAAAGAGAUAACCGCCGAAAGCAGAAACGGGGUCAUGAAGAUCCUAAGGCAAAUGGUUCAGAAAC